Molecule: ribosomal RNA, 390 nt
Filed under: Dociostaurus jagoi jagoi
Lineage: Eukaryota; Metazoa; Arthropoda; Insecta; Orthoptera; Acrididae
Description: 12S ribosomal RNA
Rfam family: Microsporidia small subunit ribosomal RNA
Source: RNAcentral
AUACCCUAUUAUUUUGAGUGUUAAUUUUGCUUACCUGGGUACUAUUAGUUAAGAUCUUUAAACCCAAAGAAUUUGGCGGUACCUUAUUCCAUUCAGAGGAACCUACCCCGUAAUUGAUAAUACACGAUUGACUUUACUUAAUUUAUUUGUUUGUAUAUCUCCGUUAUCAGAAAAUCUUAUUGGAGUUAUAAUUUUCUUGAUUUAUAAUUAUAAAAUAUUUCAGGUCAAGGUGCAGCUUAUAAUUAAGAGGAGGUGGGUUACAAUAAAUUUUUGUUUAUUAUGAAUUUAAUGGUGAAAUACUAUUAAUGAAGGUGGAUUUGAUAGUAAUUUAAUUUAUUUAAUUUAAUUGAUAUUGGCUCUAAGGUGUGUACACAUCGCCCGUCGCUCUCA